RNAcentral lists this transfer RNA (71 nucleotides) under Sphenoraia micans. RNAcentral describes it as "tRNA-Val". Lineage: Eukaryota; Metazoa; Arthropoda; Insecta; Coleoptera; Chrysomelidae. The record is from RNAcentral.
CAAAUUAGAGCUUGAUUAUAAAGUAUUUUAUUUACAUUAAAAAGUUAGUUGUGUGAUUCAAUUUAAUUUGA